This 242-nucleotide ribosomal RNA is filed under the name uncultured bacterium. RNAcentral describes it as "partial 16S ribosomal RNA". It matches the Rfam family "Bacterial small subunit ribosomal RNA", at positions 87 to 334 of the family's 1533-position model. The record is from RNAcentral.
GCCGGCGACCGGCGAACGGGUGCGUAAUGCGCAUGCAAUCUACUUUACACUGGGAAUAGCCUCCGAACGGGAAUAAUACCCAUAUAAUCUUAUUAGCGCAUGUUAAAAAGAUAAAAGCUCCGGCGGUGUAAAAUGAGCGUGCGUCCUAUUAGCUAGUUGGAGAGGUAAUGGCUCACCAAGGCUACGAUGGGUAGGGGUUCUUAGUGGAAGGUCCCCCACACUGGCACUGAGAUACGGGCCAG